AGCUGGAGCUUGCUCUGGNUGGAUUAGUGGCGAACGGGUGAGUAACACGUGAGUAACCUGCCCUUGACUCUGGGAUAAGCGUUGGAAACGACGUCUAAUACCGGAUACGAGCUUCAGCCGCAUGGCUAGGAGUUGGAAAGAAUUUCGGUCAAGGAUGGACUCGCGGCCUAUCAGCUAGUUGGUGAGGUAAUGGCUCACCAAGGCGACGACGGGUAGCCGGCCUGAGAGGGUGACCGGCCACACUGGGACUGAGACACGGCCCAGACUCCUACGGGAGGCAGCAGUGGGGAAUAUUGCACAAUGGGCGCAAGCCUGAUGCAGCAACGCCGCGUGAGGGACGACGGCCUUCGGGUUGUAAACCUCUUUUAGCAGGGAAGAAGCGAAAGUGACGGUACCUGCAGAAAAAGCACCGGCUAACUACGUGCCAGCAGCCGCGGUAAUACGUAGGGUGCAAGCGUUGUCCGGAAUUAUUGGGCGUAAAGAGCUCGUANGCGGUUUGUCGCGUCUGCUGUGAAAACGCGAGGCUCAACCUCGCGCCUGCAGUGGGUACGGGCAAACUAGAGUGCGGUAGGGGAGAUUGGAAUUCCUGGUGUAGCGGUGGAAUGCGCAGAUAUCAGGAGGAACACCGAUGGCGAAGGCAGAUCUCUGGGCCGUAACUGACGCUGAGGAGCGAAAGCGUGGGGAGCGAACAGGAUUAGAUACCCUGGUAGUCCACGCCGUAAACGUUGGGAACUAGAUGUAGGACCAUUCCACGGGUUUCUGUGUCGCANCUAACGCAUUAAGUUCCCCGCCCUGGGGAGUACGG
This 805-nucleotide ribosomal RNA is filed under the name Microcella sp. Its description in RNAcentral is "bacterial SSU rRNA". It matches the Rfam family "Bacterial small subunit ribosomal RNA", at positions 71 to 885 of the family's 1533-position model. Lineage: Bacteria; Bacillati; Actinomycetota; Actinomycetes; Micrococcales; Microbacteriaceae. The record is from RNAcentral.